Molecule: long non-coding RNA, 1138 nt
Filed under: Cavia porcellus (domestic guinea pig)
Lineage: Eukaryota; Metazoa; Chordata; Mammalia; Rodentia; Caviidae
Description: lncRNA (ENSCPOG00000024918.2)
Source: RNAcentral
UGCAAAUAGUCAGCCACGAGGACAUCAGGGACAUGCAAAAAUCAAAAAGUGCCCAGGAUGGUCCUGUGAGCAAUCCCAGUAGCAGUGACAGCAGGCAGGACUCGCCCCACAAAGCCCCAAAGAAGAAGGGCAUCAAGUCCUCCAUUGGUCGUUUGUUUGGCAAAAAGGAAAAGGGUCGGCCUGGACAAACUGGCAAAGAAUCACCAGGACAAGAAACCUCAUCUCAGGAUGCGUUCCGACUUAGCAAACUGGGAGGAAAGGCUGAAAAAAAUCGAAAAUUUCAAAAAAACUCAACAGGCUCCCAGGAAGGUCCUGUGAACAAUCCCAGUACCAGUGACAGCAGGCAGGAUGCGCUCCACAAAGCCCCAAAAAAGAAGAGCAUCAAGUCCUCCACUGGUCGUUUGUUUGGCAAAAAGAAAAAGGUUCUGCCUGGACAAACUGGCAAAGAAUCACCAAGACAAGCCGUUGUUUCUGAAACGGAAAACUCAUCUCAGGAUGCCUUCCAACUUAGCAAAUUGGGAGGAAAGGAUGAAAAAAAUCGUCAACUUCAAAAACACUCAACAGGCUCCCAGGAAGGUCCUGUGAACAAUCCCAGUACCAGUGACAGCAGGCAGGACGCGCUCCACAAAGCCCCAAAGAAGAAGAGCAUCAAGUCCUCCACUGGUCGUUUGUUUGGCAAAAAGAAUAAGGUUCUGCCUGGACAAACUGGCAAAGAAUCACCAAGACAAGCUGUUGUUUCUGAAACAGAAAACUCAUCUCAGGAUGCCUUCCAACUUAGCAAAUUGGGAGGAAAGGAUGAAAAAAAUCAUCAACUUCAAAAACACUCAACAGGCUCCCAGGAAGGUCCUGUGAACAAUCCCAGUACCAGUGACAGCAGGCAGGACGCGCUCCACAAAGCCCCAAAGAAGAAGAGCAUCAAGUCCUCCACUGGUCGUUUGUUUGGCAAAAAGAAAAAGGGUCCACCUGGACAAACUGGCAAAGAAUCACCAAGACAAGCUGUUGUUUCUGAAACAGAAAACUCAUCUCAGGAUGCCUUCCAACUUAGCAAACUGGGAGGAAAGGAUGAAAAAAAUCGUCAACUUCAAAAACAGUAAGCUUUUUGUUAUUUCUCCAUCUCAUGAAACAUUUUUCUGAGUUA